RNAcentral lists this ribosomal RNA (253 nucleotides) under uncultured bacterium. RNAcentral describes it as "partial 16S ribosomal RNA". It matches the Rfam family "Bacterial small subunit ribosomal RNA", at positions 524 to 776 of the family's 1533-position model. The record is from RNAcentral.
UACGUAAGGGGCAAGCGUUGUCCGGAAUCAUUGGGCGUAAAGAGCGUGUAGGCGGUUCGGUAAGUCGGCUGUGAAAGUCCAGGGCUCAACCCUGGGAUGCCGGUCGAUACUGCCGGACUAGAGUUCGGAAGAGGCGAGUGGAAUUCCCGGUGUAGCGGUGAAAUGCGCAGAUAUCGGGAGGAACACCUAUGGCGAAGGCAGCUCGCUGGGACGUUACUGACGCUGAGACGCGAAAGCGUGGGGAGCAAACAGG